RNAcentral lists this ribosomal RNA (259 nucleotides) under uncultured Sphingobacteriales bacterium. RNAcentral describes it as "partial 16S ribosomal RNA". It matches the Rfam family "Bacterial small subunit ribosomal RNA", at positions 1124 to 1382 of the family's 1533-position model. Lineage: Bacteria; Pseudomonadati; Bacteroidota; Sphingobacteriia; Sphingobacteriales. The record is from RNAcentral.
GGUUAAGCUGGGGACUCUAAGGAACUGCCUACGCAAGUAGUGAGGAAGGCGGGGAUGACGUCAAAUCAGCACGGCCCUUACGUCCAGGGCUACACACGUGCGUACAAUGGCCGAUACAGAGGGCAGCUACCUGGUGACAGGAUGCAAAUCUCCAAAGUCGGUCUCAGUUCGGAUCGGAGUCUGCAACCCGACUCCGUGAAGUUGGAUUCGCUAGUAAUCGCGCAUCAGCCAUGGCGCGGUGAAUACGUUCCCGGGCCUU